UAAAUCUAGCCAAGCAUUUAAAAUAAAUAUAGCAAUAUAGUUAAAUAAAUUAGUUGACCCAGUGCACCAAGUGUAAGGACUUCCGAUAAGUCUUAAGCCACGGUGUAACCACAAAUGUAAUUAGAGCUGCCAACUUGAUAUGAUCCCUGAAAGCUAAGCUUUCCAAAGCCCUUGAAAGUGUUGUGCAUACAUACUAUAUGUAUGAAUUUUCUUUUCACUUAGUAUUAUUUUUACAGUUGAACUGUUUGCAGUAGCCGCAAUUUUAUUUUAACAAAUAAUACAAAAUUUUGAUAAUAUAAUAAUAUGGACCGGCAAUUUAGUGACUGGCGAGAUUCCCCAGCACCUACUGGACUCUUUGGAGGUCUUAGGCCCAAUUUAUUGGAUGUACCGCGGGCGCCAAAACUACGUAUGAACCGUAAAUACAUCCACUCAUCGACCAAUUUUUCUGAGAAUUUUAUUCGCCUCCGCUCUGUCUUUUCACCAAACGCUCGGAGGAAAAUAAAUGAAAAUACUUUGUAAUAACGCCAUUCAGAAGCUUCCCAGUCGAGCAGCCGAUUCUUAGAUAUAUCUGAUUCCUUGGGUUAUUCUGAUGUUUGUUAUUUAUUUUAUAGAAUUUGCUAAAGUAAAGCUAAAAUAUGAUGUUUCAAUUAUGAAUAUUUUAAAUAUAUAUGAAGUCAACUUUUAAAAACUUUGAAGCAUUUUUGAAUAUUCUGAACAUAGUAAUUUGAUUUACAUUUGAUUUACAUUUAAUUAAAAGCGGAUAAAAACACA
Drosophila sulfurigaster albostrigata is the source of this 771-nucleotide RNA transcript. RefSeq lists it as uncharacterized. Lineage: Eukaryota; Metazoa; Arthropoda; Insecta; Diptera; Drosophilidae. The transcript is spliced from 2 exons. The record is from RefSeq and is a predicted model, not a curated record.